GAUGAACGCUGGCGGCGUGCCUAAUACAUGCAAGUCGAGCGAACGGACGAGAAGCUUGCUUCUCUGAUGUUAGCGGCGGACGGGUGAGUAACACGUGGAUAACCUACCUAUAAGACUGGGAUAACUUCGGGAAACCGGAGCUAAUACCGGAUGAUAUUUUGAACCGCAUGGUUCAAAAGUGAAAGACGGUCUUGCUGUCACUUAUCGAUGGAUCCGCGCUGCAUUAGCUAGUUGGUAAGGUAACGGCUUACCAAGGCAACGAUGCAUAGCCGACCUGAGAGGGUGAUCGGCCACCCUGGAACUGAGACACGGUCCAGACUCCUACGGGAGGCAGCAGUAGGGAAUCUUCCGCAAUGGGCGAAAGCCUGACGGAGCAACGCCGCGUGAGUGAUGAAGGUCUUCGGAUCGUAAAACUCUGUUAUUAGGGAAGAACAUAUGUGUAAGUAACUGUGCACAUCUUGACGGUACCUAAUCAGAAAGCCACGGCUAACUACGUG
This 497-nucleotide ribosomal RNA is filed under the name uncultured bacterium. RNAcentral's name for it is "partial 16S ribosomal RNA". It matches the Rfam family "Bacterial small subunit ribosomal RNA", at positions 28 to 507 of the family's 1533-position model. The record is from RNAcentral.